CGAAGGUCCUUUGGACGCACGUUGCGCCCGAUGCCAUUAGGUUGAGGGCACGUCUGCCUGGGUGUCACAUAUCGAAACCCCCUGCCAAUUUCCCUUUGAUUAUUGUGCAGGGUGGAUGUUGGCCUCCCGUGAGCUCUUUUGUCUCAUGGUUGGUUGAAAAUUGAGACCUUGGUAGGGUGUGCCAUGAUAGAUGGUGGUUGUGCGACCCACGAGACCAAUCAUGCGCUGCUCUAUUGAAUUUUGGCCUCUUUUACCCAUAUGCGUUUCUAAACGCUCGUGAUGAGACCUCAGGUCAGGCGGGGCUACCCGCUGAAUUUAAGCAUAUCAAUAAGCGGAGGAAAAGAAACUAACAAGGAUUCCCUUAGUAACGGCGAGCGAACCGGGAUAAGCCCACCAUGAGAAUCGGUCGCCCUCGGCGUUCGAAUUGUAGUUGAAAAAAAACCGUCAAAGGG
This 452-nucleotide ribosomal RNA is filed under the name Vicia peregrina. Its description in RNAcentral is "eukaryotic LSU rRNA". The stretch from base 283 to 452 matches the Rfam family "Eukaryotic large subunit ribosomal RNA", at positions 1 to 170 of the family's 3401-position model. Lineage: Eukaryota; Viridiplantae; Streptophyta; Magnoliopsida; Fabales; Fabaceae. The record is from RNAcentral.